CUGCUGCCUCCCGUAGGAGUUUGGGCCGUGUCUCAGUCCCAAUGUGGCCGUUCACCCUCUCAGGCCGGCUACUGAUCGUUGCCUUGGUAGGCCAUUACCCCACCAACUAGCUAAUCAGACGCGGAACCAUCGUAUACCACCAGAGUUUUUCACACCGCUUCAUGCGAAGCUGUGCGCUUAUGCGGUAUUAGCACCUAUUUCUAAGUGUUACUCCCCCAGUAUACGGCAGGUUUUCCACGCGUUACUCACCCGUCCGCCA
This 259-nucleotide ribosomal RNA is filed under the name uncultured bacterium. Its description in RNAcentral is "partial 16S ribosomal RNA". The record is from RNAcentral.